CAGUCGCCGCGGUAAUACGAGGGGGGCAAGCGUUGUUCGGAAUUAUUGGGCGUAAAGGGCGCGUAGGCGGUUUGGCAAGUUUGGUGUGAAAUCUUCGGGCUCAACUCGAAGUCUGCAUCGAAAACUGCCGGGCUUGAGUAUGGGAGAGGUGAGUGGAAUUUCCGGUGUAGCGGUGAAAUGCGUAGAUAUCGGAAGGAACACCUGUGGCGAAAGCGGCUCACUGGACCAUGACUGACGCUGAGGCGCGAAAGCUAGGGGAGCAAACAGGAUUAGAUACCCCCGUAGUCCCUGUCUCUUAUAC
Molecule: ribosomal RNA, 301 nt
Filed under: uncultured bacterium
Lineage: Bacteria
Description: partial 16S ribosomal RNA
Rfam family: Bacterial small subunit ribosomal RNA
Source: RNAcentral